GUUCGAGCCCUGUUUUUCUA
This 20-nucleotide transfer RNA is filed under the name Plestiodon brevirostris (shortnose skink). Its description in RNAcentral is "partial tRNA-Gln". The record is from RNAcentral. Lineage: Eukaryota; Metazoa; Chordata; Lepidosauria; Squamata; Scincidae.